RNAcentral lists this ribosomal RNA (30 nucleotides) under Fusarium verticillioides. RNAcentral describes it as "partial 18S ribosomal RNA". The record is from RNAcentral. Lineage: Eukaryota; Fungi; Ascomycota; Sordariomycetes; Hypocreales; Nectriaceae.
GGUGUCCAGCAGUGAACUCCCAGCCGCUGU